GACGAACGCUGGCGGCGUGCCUAAUACAUGCAAGUCGAACGCUGAAGGAGGAGCUUGCUUCUCCGGAUGAGUUGCGAACGGGUGAGUAACGCGUAGGUAACCUGCCUGGUAGCGGGGGAUAACUAUUGGAAACGAUAGCUAAUACCGCAUAAGAGUAGAUGUUGCAUGACAUUUGCUUAAAAGGUGCAAUUGCAUCACUACCAGAUGGACCUGCGUUGUAUUAGCUAGUUGGUGGGGUAACGGCUUACCAAGGCGACGAUACAUAGCCGACCUGAGAGGGUGAUCGGCCACACUGGGACUGAGACACGGCCCAGACUCCUACGGGAGGCAGCAGUAGGGAAUCUUCGGCAAUGGACGGAAGUCUGACCGAGCAACGCCGCGUGAGUGAAGAAGGGUGUCGGAUCGUAAAGCUCUGUUGUAAGAGAAGAACGAGUGUGAGAGUGGAAAGUUCACACUGUGACGGUAUCUUACCAGAAAGGGACGGCUAACUACGUG
Molecule: ribosomal RNA, 495 nt
Filed under: uncultured bacterium
Lineage: Bacteria
Description: partial 16S ribosomal RNA
Rfam family: Bacterial small subunit ribosomal RNA
Source: RNAcentral